GUGCUCACUUCAGCAGCACAUAUACUAAAAUUAGAAUGACACAGAGAAGGUUAGCAUGGUCCCUGUGCAAGGAUGACACGUAAAAUAAGAAUUCAAAUGAAACAAUG
Molecule: small nuclear RNA, 107 nt
Organism: Pteronotus mesoamericanus
Lineage: Eukaryota; Metazoa; Chordata; Mammalia; Chiroptera; Mormoopidae
Source: RefSeq, a predicted model, not a curated record